RNAcentral lists this ribosomal RNA (474 nucleotides) under Actinomyces naeslundii. Its description in RNAcentral is "bacterial SSU rRNA". It matches the Rfam family "Bacterial small subunit ribosomal RNA", at positions 28 to 476 of the family's 1533-position model. Lineage: Bacteria; Bacillati; Actinomycetota; Actinomycetes; Actinomycetales; Actinomycetaceae. The record is from RNAcentral.
GACGAACGCUGGCGGCGUGCUUAACACAUGCAAGUCGAACGGUGAAGGGGCCUGCUUUUGUGGGUCCUGGAUGAGUGGCGAACGGGUGAGUAACACGUGAGUAACCUGCCCCCUUCUUCUGGAUAACCGCAUGAAAGUGUGGCUAAUACGGGAUAUUCUGGGUCUGUCGCAUGGUGGGCCUGGGAAAGAUUGCGCCUUUUUUGGCGUUUUUGGUGGGGGAUGGGCUCGCGGCCUAUCAGCUUGUUGGUGGGGUGAUGGCCUACCAAGGCGGUGACGGGUAGCCGGCCUGAGAGGGUGGACGGUCACACUGGGACUGAGACACGGCCCAGACUCCUACGGGAGGCAGCAGUGGGGAAUAUUGCACAAUGGGCGCAAGCCUGAUGCAGCGACGCCGCGUGAGGGAUGGAGGCCUUCGGGUUGUGAACCUCUUUCGCCAGUGAAGCAGGCCUGCCUCGUUUGUGGGUGGGUGACGGA